GGGCCGGUAGAUCAACGGCAGAUCGCUUCGUUCGCAACGAAGAGGCUCUGGGUUCAAAUCCCAGCCGGUCCA
This 72-nucleotide transfer RNA is filed under the name Candidatus Aenigmatarchaeota archaeon. Its description in RNAcentral is "tRNA-Ala". It matches the Rfam family "tRNA". From Rfam's summary of the family: Transfer RNA (tRNA) molecules are approximately 80 nucleotides in length. The record is from RNAcentral. Lineage: Archaea; Nanobdellati; Candidatus Aenigmatarchaeota.